GGAGGGUAUAGCUCAGUGGUAGACCACUGUACUUAGCAUGCAUGAGGUCCUGGGUUCAAUCCCCAGUACCUCCA
Molecule: non-coding RNA, 74 nt
Organism: Camelus dromedarius (Arabian camel)
Lineage: Eukaryota; Metazoa; Chordata; Mammalia; Artiodactyla; Camelidae
Source: the annotation of a RefSeq genome assembly